GACGAACGCUGGCGGCGUGCUUAACACAUGCAAGUCGAACGGAAAGGCCCUGCUCUUGUGGGGUGCUCGAGUGGCGAACGGGUGAGUAACACGCGAGUAACCUGCCCUUGACUUAGGGAUAACUUUAGGAAACUGCGGCUAAUACCGGAUAGGAGCUCCUGCUGCAUGGUGGGGGUUGGAAAGUGUCGGCGGUUGGGGAUGGACUCGCGGCAUAUCAGCUGGUUGGUGGGGUAGUGGCUUACCAAGCCUUUGAGGGGGAGCCGGCCUGAAAGGCUGACCGGCCCCAGCGGGACCGGGAGGCGGCAGAGGCGCCUACGGGGGGAAGGAGUGAAGAAUAUUGGACAAAGGGCGCGAGAGUGAUGCAGCAACGCCGAGCGCGAGAUGAUGUUCUUCGGGAUGAAAACCUCUGUCGGCAGCUACGAAGCGUGAGUGGCGAUAAUGGCAAAAAAACCAGCGUAAAUCCGCG
Molecule: ribosomal RNA, 466 nt
Filed under: uncultured bacterium
Lineage: Bacteria
Description: partial 16S ribosomal RNA
Rfam family: Bacterial small subunit ribosomal RNA
Source: RNAcentral